Molecule: ribosomal RNA, 253 nt
Filed under: uncultured bacterium
Lineage: Bacteria
Also listed under: 1 other name
Description: partial 16S ribosomal RNA
Rfam family: Bacterial small subunit ribosomal RNA
Source: RNAcentral
UACGGAGGGGGCUAGCGUUGUUCGGAAUUACUGGGCGUAAAGCGCACGUAGGCGGCUUUGCAAGUCAGAGGUGAAAGCCCGGGGCUCAACCCCGGAAUUGCCUUUGAGACUGCAUCGCUAGAAUUGUGGAGAGGUGAGUGGAAUUCCGAGUGUAGAGGUGAAAUUCGUAGAUAUUCGGAAGAACACCAGUGGCGAAGGCGACUCACUGGACACAUAUUGACGCUGAGGUGCGAAAGCGUGGGGAGCAAACAGG